GUUUCAUUUUGCAGUUUUUCCUAACACUGAUUUAUAGUAAAACUAAAAAAGGGGUAUGGAUAAUAAUUACUUUUGAAACUGGAGUUGCUUCACUAGUGGGAAUAAGUUACAUUGUGAUACAGCUGGAAAAGAAACAUUAGAACUUCCAUUUAGAUUUUAUGUAACUAAAGUGAUGAUCUCACAACAGUUAUUAUAAUCUGUUAAAGAAGCACUCUUUAGUUUUAUUUUGGAAAUAGAUCUUUUAGCAGGAUACAAAUACUGAGAGUUUUAUUACUAGGUUUAUAGUCCUAAGCUGAAAAUUGCUACAUUAGUAUAUCACCUCUGAAUAAAAAUCAAGUUUUUUUCCCUACAUUUUAAAAUCAGUAAUUUCUUACACCUAUUGUAAAAAAUAGUUUUUAGUUAGCCUUCAGAUGUGACAUAACAACUGCCAGAAUAUCAGAGAAAACAUGAUGUAGCAGAGACUAAGGCACAUUAUAAUGCUUUUAGAGUUAAGUGCUUCCCCAGAUGAUGCGUAAGAACUUUUUGAUUCUGAAGAUCAGCGACUUUGCAUCACUUACUUGUGAAGGCAUAUGGAAUAACAUUUGCUUG
Molecule: long non-coding RNA, 588 nt
Filed under: Bos taurus (domestic cattle)
Lineage: Eukaryota; Metazoa; Chordata; Mammalia; Artiodactyla; Bovidae
Description: long non-coding RNA NONBTAT023768
Source: RNAcentral